RNAcentral lists this non-coding RNA (25 nucleotides) under Mus musculus (house mouse). Lineage: Eukaryota; Metazoa; Chordata; Mammalia; Rodentia; Muridae. The record is from RNAcentral.
UAAUAACUACAUGGUCCCCGAGAGU